Homo sapiens (human) is the source of this 1336-nucleotide long non-coding RNA. The record is from Ensembl. Lineage: Eukaryota; Metazoa; Chordata; Mammalia; Primates; Hominidae.
GACUACAAUCAGUACCAUAAAAAAGUAUAUCAUAGACAUGUUUGAUCCGAGACGGAAGGUUCCAGAGUAAGUGACAACUAAGCAGAGAUCUUAAAGAUGUGGGAACACCUACAUGUCUAUGUUCAGAAGCUGCCUUGAUGCCACAUGCGGGAGGCUGGAAACGCUGAAGGAUGACCACUGCUCAGCAGCAGUCUACCAGUGAUGGAUGAGAGUUGGUGCACAAAUACCCCAGCUCCCUUGCCUCUCAGUUUGGAUAAUCCUGAAAAGACCCAGCAAGAAAUGAUUCCAAGAUCACCUAGCUGAUCUCAUGCUCUAUCUGGAUUUGAGUGAAGAUAUACAUAUUCACCAAGUCUUGACUCAGUCACCUUUUGUGCAGCACCAUCCUAUUACAAAUCUGCCAGCCUACAGACUAGUAAAACGCGCUGACCCAAGAGAAAGCAAAAAGCGGCCCCUUUCCCCGGCUCCAGCGCUGCUCGGCCAGGCUUCACUUUUAAAGGCGAGCAUCAUUGGUUCAUGCGCCACAGGAAAUGGAGCCAUCACAGGACGGGCCAAAGACACCUGUCUUCUCAUCCCUCUUCUCACUUUUCACUUCAAAGGCACGCACCUCAUCAGGGAAGAAAAAGGAAAGCUGAGAGGAACUGAGACAGCAGUUUUAGGUGAUGGGUUAAUUAUGCACAGUUGUGCCUUCCUCUCUCCUUUCUCAAUCUUCGCCCCAAGUCCUGCCUCCAGGUUUAUGCUGCAGAGUGUCCGUGGAAGGGUGGCUCUUACAUGGUAGCUCUGAAAAGCUUGACAUUAUUUUACUAAGUGAAUGCAAGAAUUCUCAUGUGGGCAUCUCCACUCAUGGAUAGGAUUGCCAGAUUUAGCAAAUAAAAGUACAAUGAAAUAUCCAAUUACACUUGAAUUUCAGAUAAUCAACAAAUACUUCUUUUUCGUACAGUUAUGCCCUGUUUAACCUCUACUGUUCCACUAGGGAUAUACUUGUAUUGCGCACUUACCUGUUGUUUAUAUAAAAUUCAAAUUUAACCAGGCAUCCCACUCAUGGGGCCCCAGACCAAACGGAAGCCCCCUCCCUACCCCUAGCCAAAUGCUGGUUGAGUUUUUUGGGAUGAUAAUGAGGAAAAUAAGGCCAGAAGACCCACAUUGCCCCUCAUCUAUAGCACCUGAAACUUGGAACCACCCAACAGAUCCAGUUCUGCCCUGCCCUGAAGAGAGUUGCCUUCAUUUUCAGCAGAGUCUAGAGAGUAAUUUAAAGUUUGAAUUGGCCCCUGGAGGAAGAACAUUGUGUUAAACUUCCUAUGUGACUUGAAAUAAAUUUCGUUUUCUCUGUGGGUGUUAA